This 253-nucleotide ribosomal RNA is filed under the name uncultured bacterium. RNAcentral's name for it is "partial 16S ribosomal RNA". It matches the Rfam family "Bacterial small subunit ribosomal RNA", at positions 524 to 776 of the family's 1533-position model. The record is from RNAcentral.
UACGUAGGGUCCGAGCGUUGUCCGGAAUUACUGGGCGUAAAGAGCUCGUAGGUGGUUUGUCGCGUUGUCCGUGAAAACUCACAGCUCAACUGUGGGCGUGCGGGCGAUACGGGCAGACUGGAGUACUGCAGGGGAGACUGGAAUUCCUGGUGUAGCGGUGGAAUGCGCAGAUAUCAGGAGGAACACCGGUGGCGAAGGCGGGUCUCUGGACCAUAACUGACGCUGAUGCACGAAAGCUAGGGGAGCAAACAGG